Molecule: signal recognition particle RNA, 98 nt
Filed under: Rhodocytophaga aerolata
Lineage: Bacteria; Pseudomonadati; Bacteroidota; Cytophagia; Cytophagales; Rhodocytophagaceae
Description: signal recognition particle sRNA small type
Rfam family: Bacteroidales small SRP
About the family: The non-coding component of the signal recognition particle in Bacteroides
Source: RNAcentral
AGGGCAAAUCAAUACGACCAGCUCCUAUUGAACUCCUCCAGGUGCGGAAGCAAGCAAAGGUAAAUAGUUGUAGCGGUGCGAUAUUGGUUUGCUUUUUU